CAUGGGUGCACAGAGAGGGGUCACAAAGCACAUCCCCAUCCCCAUGCUGAGGGUUUUCAUGUUCUCUGCAGCAUCUCCUGACUCACAUGUAAAGCAAUGCCAGCGCUUAAUGUGUUAGCUGAGCUCUAAUUCUCUCCCUUUAAAUUUAAAAUGCUGCAUUUAGCCCCCAAAUUGUCAGUGCCACUUUAAACGUGCGUGUCUAAAUUAUCCCCUCUGUACUCCCAUCCCUAUAGCAGCAUUAUGCACAGCUCCAUCUGCUCCAGUAUUUCUCAGCUGUUUCCAUCCUCAAUGUAAUGGCCAGCUUAUGCACAGCUAACAACUUCCCAGCAGAGAAGUGAAAAAUUAAUCCAGAGCCUGCUCUGGUGGCUAAAGACAGGAUUCCUAAAUGAGCCUGAGAAUUACACAUGCAAAUCCCAAAGGCCUGCAAUUGGGAACAUCUGAGCAACAAAUUGUCCUUGCUAAAGAUGCUCUUGGAGCCAAGAAAGCCUACAGAUUUCAGGCCUGCUGUAAAUACUUUUAAAAUCACGAUCAGCCCCUGCCUGCACUGCUGCUGUUUGCCAGCUCUCCUCAUUCAGGGAUUUUUUAGGCUGCCCAGACUGACCCUCAAGGGCUGAGCCAGCAUCUCCCUGGCUCGGGGCAGAGCAGGGAGAGGAUUCCCAGGCCUGACCUUCCCGUCCUUCCUCCCUCAGCCCCAGAGCCUGGGCAGCAUCAGCAGCUCCAGCCACUGACCCAUCUGCCAGCACGGUCAGGCUCUGUCCCCCUGGCUGGACAGACACAUUUCUGCUGCACCUGUGCUGCCCAGCACUGUGAGCUGCAGAAUUGCUGCUCUGUGCAGGCAUUUAGGGAUCAGGUGCUGGGGCUGAUUUAGCUGUGGGCCAAAGCCUGCAACGUUUGGAGAACAAGCUGGUGGGGACUGGGGAGAGAUGACUUCUCUUGGCAGGGAGGUGACAUUCUGAUUUGACUCAUUCCUGCCUCACUAUGACUGUCUGACCAGUACCAUGGGGAUUCCUGGUGUGCAAGCAGCCCCUGGAUUCCUCCCACCUCACAUUUACACCCAUAUAUUCCCUUUCACAUCCCCCGUGAGGGAGGCUAACGUGAAAUCCGCACCCCGCUCCAAGGUGAUGCGGGUGGUUUAACUACCAAGGGGUUAAAUCCAGCUUGUGAUUCCCGUGGGCUGCCUGCUGCUGUGGGCAAAGCAAGCAGGAUUCCUCCUGUGACGUUCAGUGUGCUCCCAGAGCUGGUGGGCUCCGAGCUGCCAGCCACAGCUCACUGCAGCAGCAGCACAGAGCACUCGAGGGACGGCUCCGUGCCACAAGUGUCAGCCCUGGGCUCUCCCCAGUGAGCACUUUGGGAUGGGGAGGGAUGCAGGCAAGAGGAGCUGGAGGUCAGGAGAGCCCCUGGUGUCACACACCCAUCAAAGCAGGGCUGCUCCCGGCGUUCCAGGAUCUCCUGUGCAGCCCAAAAGCUGUUGUGGAAGGGCUCUGCUUUUGGGUUCUACCAGACCAAGUGAGGUUUGGUUGGGGCUUGGGCGAAUUCCCACUCGAGGAGAAGAACACCCACUGCUUUGAAAGGGCAGGGACAAGCUCUCCUGUAUUUUAAACACACGCCGAAGUCCUGUUAAGUUUCGGAGGGGCUGGGUUUUUAAAUAUGGAUUAUAAAAAUUAUAAUUUUUGGCUUGAUCCACUAUUUCCCAAGCAGGCCACGGCCCUGCCUCUCUCCCCCUUCCCACCCGCACGCGCCCUCCCCUCGGCAAU
Molecule: non-coding RNA, 1754 nt
Organism: Zonotrichia albicollis (white-throated sparrow)
Lineage: Eukaryota; Metazoa; Chordata; Aves; Passeriformes; Passerellidae
Source: RefSeq, a predicted model, not a curated record